This 70-nucleotide transfer RNA is filed under the name Bos taurus (domestic cattle). It matches the Rfam family "tRNA". Rfam says of the family: Transfer RNA (tRNA) molecules are approximately 80 nucleotides in length. Their secondary structure includes four short double-helical elements and three loops (D, anti-codon, and T loops). The record is from Rfam by way of RNAcentral. RNAcentral also lists the same sequence under 1 other name. Lineage: Eukaryota; Metazoa; Chordata; Mammalia; Artiodactyla; Bovidae.
CCCUGUAGCUCCAACAGGAAAGAAUCUGCCUGCAAUGCAGGAGACCUGGGUUUGAUCCCCAGUUCGGGAA